RNAcentral lists this ribosomal RNA (468 nucleotides) under uncultured bacterium. RNAcentral's name for it is "partial 16S ribosomal RNA". It matches the Rfam family "Bacterial small subunit ribosomal RNA", at positions 28 to 507 of the family's 1533-position model. The record is from RNAcentral.
GACGAACGCUGGCGGCGUGCUUAUCACAUGCAAGUCGAACGGAAAGGCCCUGCUUUUGUGGGGUGCUCGAGUGGCGAACGGGUGAGUAACACGUGAGUAACCUGCCCUUGACUUUGGGAUAACUUCAGGAAACUGGGGCUAAUACCGGAUAGGAGCUCCUGCUGCAUGGUGGGGGUUGGACAGUUUCGGCGGUUGGGGAUGGACUCGCGGCUUAUCAGCUUGUUGGUGGGGUAGUGGCUUACCAAGGCUUUGACGGGUAGCCGGCCUGAGAGGGUGACCGGCCACAUUGGGACUGAGAUACGGCCCAGACUCCUACGGGAGGCAGCAGUGGGGAAUAUUGCACAAUGGGCGGAAGCCUGAUGCAGCAACGCCGCGUGCGGGAUGACGGCCUUCGGGUUGUAAACCGCUUUCGCCCGUGACGAAGCGUGAGUGACGGUAAUGGGUAAAGAAGCACCGGCUAACUACGUG